RNAcentral lists this ribosomal RNA (468 nucleotides) under uncultured bacterium. RNAcentral's name for it is "partial 16S ribosomal RNA". It matches the Rfam family "Bacterial small subunit ribosomal RNA", at positions 28 to 507 of the family's 1533-position model. The record is from RNAcentral.
GACGAACGCUGGCGGCGUGCUUAACACAUGCAAGUCGAACGGAAAGGCCCUGCUUUUGUGGGGUGCUCGAGUGGCGAACGGGUGAGUAACACGUGAGUAACCUGCCCUUGACUUUGGGAUAACUUCAGGAAACUGGGGCUAAUACCGGAUAGGAGCUCCUGCUGCAUGGUGGGGGUUGGAAAGUUUCGGCGGUUGGGGAUGGACUCGCGGCUUAUCAGCUUGUUGGUGGGGUAGUGGUUUACCAAGGCUUUGGCGGGUAGGCCGCCUGGGAGGGUGACCGGGGUCCAGACGACUGAGGGAGGGACAAGUCGGGAACAGGGGGCAGCGGGCGCAAGCAUGGCACAGUGAGCCGGAGUGGGAGACGACGGCGUUCGGUGCGGAAUGACGGUUUUUGGGUUGAGAAAAGCAGUCGCUUGUUACGAAGCGGGUGUGACGGUACCGGAUAAAUAAGCACCGGCUAACUACGUG